GACGAACGCUGGCGGCGUGCUUAACACAUGCAAGUCGAACGGAAAGGCCCUGCUUUUGUGGGGUGCUCGAGUGGCGAACGGGUGAGUAACACGUGAGUAGCCUGCCCUUGACUUUGGGAUAACUUCAGGAAACUGGGGCUAAUACCGGAUAGGAGCUCCUGCUGCAUGGUGGGGGUUGGAAAGUUUCGGCGGUUGGGGAUGGACUCGCGGCUUAUCAGCUUGUUGGUGGGGUAGUGGCUUACCAAGGCUUUGACGGGUAGCCGGCCUGAGAGGGUGACCGGCCACAUUGGGACUGAGAUACGGCACAGACUCCUACGGGAGGCAGCAGUGGGGAAUAUUGCACAAUGGGCGGAAGCCUGAUGCAGCAACGCCGCGUGCGGGAUGACGGCCUUCGGGUUGUAAACCGCUUUCGCCUGUGACGAAGCGUGAGUGACGGUAAUGGGUAAAGAAGCACCGGCUAACUACGUG
This 468-nucleotide ribosomal RNA is filed under the name uncultured bacterium. Its description in RNAcentral is "partial 16S ribosomal RNA". It matches the Rfam family "Bacterial small subunit ribosomal RNA", at positions 28 to 507 of the family's 1533-position model. The record is from RNAcentral.